GGAUACGUAGUUCAACGGUUAGAGCUCCCGCCUCAUAAGCGGGUAGUCCCCAGUUCGAAUCUGGGCGUAUCCACAA
RNAcentral lists this transfer RNA (76 nucleotides) under Candidatus Falkowbacteria bacterium CG10_big_fil_rev_8_21_14_0_10_39_11. RNAcentral's name for it is "tRNA-Met". It matches the Rfam family "tRNA". From Rfam's summary of the family: Transfer RNA (tRNA) molecules are approximately 80 nucleotides in length. Their secondary structure includes four short double-helical elements and three loops (D, anti-codon, and T loops). Lineage: Bacteria; Candidatus Falkowiibacteriota. The record is from RNAcentral.